Molecule: unclassified non-coding RNA, 146 nt
Filed under: uncultured Ascomycota
Lineage: Eukaryota; Fungi; Ascomycota
Description: sequence contains ITS2
Source: RNAcentral
CAACCCUCAAGCCUAGCUUGGUCUUGGGCUCUGCCGGUAACGGCUGGCCUUAAAAUCAGUGGCGGUGCCAUCGAGCUCUACGCGUAGUAAUUAAACCCUCGCGUGUGAGUCUUGAUGAGUACUUGCCAAUAACCCUCAUUUUUUAU